Molecule: non-coding RNA, 91 nt
Filed under: Actinacidiphila cocklensis
Lineage: Bacteria; Bacillati; Actinomycetota; Actinomycetes; Kitasatosporales; Streptomycetaceae
Description: Streptomyces cocklensis ZMP-ZTP
Rfam family: ZMP/ZTP riboswitch aptamer (pfl RNA motif)
About the family: Previously known as pfl RNA. ZMP is also known as AICAR.
Source: RNAcentral
GGGUGGAGCCGUGACUGGCGCGCUGGGAUGGGGUCAACCAUCGGGGAGCGGCUCGUCGUGACCACAAGAGCCGUGCGCCUGGGCCGUCCCG